CAAGCGACGACGAUUCCUCCAUUUUUAAUCCGCCUCAGAACCAAAGUGGCUCUGAUACCACUUGUUGGGAAAAGUGGUGAAUAAAUAUUCACGAGUGUCCAAAUAAAUGACACUUGCACAGCGGAACCAGGAUAAUUCUUUUCCCUCUUGCUGGAUUACAAAAUGGGAUCCAAACCAAGAAAAAUAUUUGGUGCAAAAUAUAAGAAAAUAUGAGACAAGAAUUUUUACGUGGAAAACCCAAAUUGGGAAAAACCACGAGACCGUAGUCUAGAAAAUCUUCCACUAUGUAUAUAGUAGGCUUACAAAAUUCUCCCUACACAAAAUAGGGGAAACACAAAUCUCAAGUUUAAUAACUUGGAAAACACAAGAGGACUGAGCUACUAUUUUAAGAGAGAUGAAAAA
This 402-nucleotide long non-coding RNA is filed under the name Salvia miltiorrhiza (redroot sage). Its description in RNAcentral is "long non-coding RNA (SMIL_LNC011460)". The record is from RNAcentral. Lineage: Eukaryota; Viridiplantae; Streptophyta; Magnoliopsida; Lamiales; Lamiaceae.